GGGUGAGUAACACGUGGAUAACCUACCUAUAAGACUGGGAUAACUUCGGGAAACCGGAGCUAAUACCGGAUAACAUGUUGAACCGCAUGGUUCAACAGUGAAAGACGGUCUUGCUGUCACUUAUAGAUGGAUCCGCGUCGCAUUAGCUAGUUGUAAGGUAACGGCUUACCAAGGCAACGAUGCGUAGCCGACCUGAGAGGGUGAUCGGCCACACUGGAACUGAGACACGGUCCAG
Molecule: ribosomal RNA, 235 nt
Filed under: uncultured Staphylococcus sp.
Lineage: Bacteria; Bacillati; Bacillota; Bacilli; Caryophanales; Staphylococcaceae
Description: partial 16S ribosomal RNA
Rfam family: Bacterial small subunit ribosomal RNA
Source: RNAcentral